UACGGAGGGGACUAGCGUUGUUCGGAAUUACUGGGCGUAAAGCGCGCGUAGGCGGAUUUGCAAGUCGGGGGUGAAAGCCCGAGGCUCAACCUCGGAACUGCCCUCGAUACUGCAAAUCUCGAGUCCGAGAGAGGUGAGUGGAAUUCCUAGUGUAGAGGUGAAAUUCGUAGAUAUUAGGAAGAACACCAGUGGCGAAGGCGGCUCACUGGCUCGGUACUGACGCUGAGGCGCGAAAGCGUGGGGAGCAAAC
Molecule: ribosomal RNA, 250 nt
Filed under: uncultured bacterium
Lineage: Bacteria
Description: partial 16S ribosomal RNA
Rfam family: Bacterial small subunit ribosomal RNA
Source: RNAcentral